CCACUUGAACGACGUCGUCAUUGCAGUCUUGAGGAAUACCUGCUGCUACUUUUAUAUCCGCUAGUCUUGCUUGAGCUUCUUCUUUGGAAUUGGAGGUCUUGUCCAGAACUCGCUUGGCCUCACCGAGUCUACCCUGGAGGACUAACCAACGAGGUGACUCGGGCAUGGCUAGAACAAUCACAGCAAGGAUAAAUGAAGGGAUUGCACCAAUUCCAAGCAUGAAUCUCCACCCCAAGUGAGUUGGGAGCUUGGAGAAUGCAAAAUUGGAGACGUAGCCAAUCAAAAUCCCAGAGUUGAUAAAAACUUCUGGAAAUGAGGUGAGGAACCCACGAGACGAUGCCGGAGAGACCUCGGCUGUGUACACCGGAGCAAUCACGACGGCAUAGCCCACCCCAAUUCCUGCUAUGAACCGGCCAACCAUAAGGAAGGCAUAGUUGGUGGCG
Molecule: unclassified non-coding RNA, 443 nt
Filed under: Hevea brasiliensis (rubber tree)
Lineage: Eukaryota; Viridiplantae; Streptophyta; Magnoliopsida; Malpighiales; Euphorbiaceae
Source: RNAcentral